UAACACGUGAGCAACCUGCCCUGAACUCUGGGAUAAGCGCUGGAAACGGCGUCUAAUACUGGAUAUGAGCUGCGGAGGCAUCUUCGUGGUUGGAAAGAUUUUUCGGUUUGGGAUGGGCUCGCGGCCUAUCAGNUUGUUGGUGAGGUAAUGGCUCACCAAGGCGUCGACGGGUAGCCGGCCUGAGAGGGUGACCGGCCACACUGGGACUGAGACACGGCCCAGACUCCUACGGGAGGCAGCAGUGGGGAAUAUUGCACAAUGGGCGGAAGCCUGAUGCAGCAACGCCGCGUGAGGGAUGACGGCCUUCGGGUUGUAAACCUCUUUUAGCAGGGAAGAAGCGANAGUGACGGUACCUGCAGAAAAAGCGCCGGCUAACUACGUGCCAGCAGCCGCGGUAAUACGUAGGGCGCAAGCGUUAUCCGGAAUUAUUGGGCGUAAAGAGCUCGUAGGCGGUUUGUCGCGUCUGCUGUGAAAUCUGGGGGCUCAACCCCCAGCCUGCAGUGGGUACGGGCAGACUAGAGUGCGGUAGGGGAGAUUGGAAUUCCUGGUGUAGCGGUGGAAUGCGCAGAUAUCAGGAGGAACACCGAUGGCGAAGGCAGAUCUCUGGGCCGUAACUGACGCUGA
This 624-nucleotide ribosomal RNA is filed under the name unidentified microorganism. Its description in RNAcentral is "bacterial SSU rRNA". It matches the Rfam family "Bacterial small subunit ribosomal RNA", at positions 111 to 749 of the family's 1533-position model. The record is from RNAcentral.